This 492-nucleotide ribosomal RNA is filed under the name uncultured bacterium. RNAcentral's name for it is "partial 16S ribosomal RNA". It matches the Rfam family "Bacterial small subunit ribosomal RNA", at positions 29 to 507 of the family's 1533-position model. The record is from RNAcentral.
AGUGAACGCUGGCGGUAGGCCUAACACAUGCAAGUCGAACGGCAGCACAGUAAGAGCUUGCUCCUACGGGUGGCGAGUGGCGGACGGGUGAGGAAUACAUCGGAAUCUACUUUUUCGUGGGGGAUAACGUGGGGAAACUUACGCUAAUACCGCAUACGACCUACGGGUGAAAGCAGGGGAUCUUCGGACCUUGCGCGAUUGAAUGAGCCGAUGUCGGAUUAGCUAGUUGGCGGGGUAAAGGCCCACCAAGGCGACGAUCCGUAGCUGGUCUGAGAGGAUGAUCAGCCACACUGGAACUGAGACACGGUCCAGACUCCUACGGGAGGCAGCAGUGGGGAAUAUUGGACAAUGGGCGCAAGCCUGAUCCAGCCAUACCGCGUGGGUGAAGAAGGCCUUCGGGUUGUAAAGCCCUUUUGUUGGGAAAGAAAAGCAGCAGGUUAAUACCCCGCUGUUCUGACGGUACCCAAAGAAUAAGCACCGGCUAACUUCGUG